Phrynosoma platyrhinos (Desert horned lizard) is the source of this 72-nucleotide non-coding RNA. The record is from the annotation of a GenBank genome assembly. NCBI's taxonomy places the organism in Eukaryota, Metazoa, Chordata, Lepidosauria, Squamata, Phrynosomatidae.
GCCAGUGUGAUGUAGUGGUUUGAAAGUUGGACUAUGACUCUAGAGAUCAGGGUUCAAUUCCCAGAUCAGCCA